This 242-nucleotide ribosomal RNA is filed under the name uncultured bacterium. RNAcentral describes it as "partial 16S ribosomal RNA". It matches the Rfam family "Bacterial small subunit ribosomal RNA", at positions 524 to 765 of the family's 1533-position model. The record is from RNAcentral.
UACGUAGGGUGCAAGCGUUAAUCGGAAUUACUGGGCGUAAAGCGUGCGCAGGCGGUGAUGUAAGACAGAUGUGAAAUCCCCGGGCUCAACCUGGGAACUGCAUUUGUGACUGCAUCGCUAGAGUACGGCAGAGGGGGAUGGAAUUCCGCGUGUAGCAGUGAAAUGCGUAGAUAUGCGGAGGAACACCGAUGGCGAAGGCAAUCCCCUGGGCCUGUACUGACGCUCAUGCACGAAAGCGUGGG